This 497-nucleotide ribosomal RNA is filed under the name uncultured bacterium. Its description in RNAcentral is "partial 16S ribosomal RNA". It matches the Rfam family "Bacterial small subunit ribosomal RNA", at positions 28 to 507 of the family's 1533-position model. The record is from RNAcentral.
GAUGAACGCUGGCGGCGUGCCUAAUACAUGCAAGUCGAGCGAACGGACGAGAAGCUUGCUGCUCUGAUGUUAGCGGCGGACGGGUGAGUAACACGUGGAUAACCUACCUAUAAGACGGGGAUAACUUCGGGAAACCGGAGCUAAUACCGGAUAAUAUUUUGAACCGCAGUGUUCAAAAGUGAAAGACGGUCUUGCGGUCACUUAUAGAUGGAUCCGGGCUGCAUUAGCUAGUUGGUAAGGUAACGGCUUACCAAGGCAACGAGGCAUAGCCGACGGGUGAGGCGGAUCGGCCACCCGGGAGCGUGACCACGGACAAGACGCCUACGGGAGGGCGCAGAAGGGAACGUUACGCAACGGGCGAGAGCCUGACGGAGCAACGGGGCGCGAGAUAUGACAGUGCUGCGAGCGUAAAACUGGGUUAUUGGGUGUGAACAUAUGUGUAAGGAACUGUGCAGAGAUUGACGGUACCUGGUCAGAAAGCCACGGCUAACUACGUG